Molecule: ribosomal RNA, 482 nt
Filed under: uncultured bacterium
Lineage: Bacteria
Description: partial 16S ribosomal RNA
Rfam family: Bacterial small subunit ribosomal RNA
Source: RNAcentral
GACGAACGCUGGCGGCGUGCUUAACACAUGCAAGUCGAACGCUGAAGCUCAGCUUGCUGGGUGGAUGAGUGGCGAACGGGUGAGUAACACGUGAGUAACCUGCCCUCUUCUUUGGGAUAACGCCCGGAAACGGGUGCUAAUACUGGAUAUUCACUGAUUCUCGCAUGGGGGUUGGUGGAAAGGUUUUUUCUGGUGGGGGAUGGGCUCGCGGCCUAUCAGCUUGUUGGUGGGGUGAUGGCCUACCAAGGCUUUGACGGGUAGCCGGCCUGAGAGGGUGACCGGUCACAUUGGGACUGAGAUACGGCCCAGACUCAUACGGGAGGCGGCAGUGGGGAAUAGUGCACAAUGGGCGAAAGCCUGAUGCAGCGACGCGGCGUGAGGGAUGGAGGCCUUCGGGUUGUAAACCUCUUUCGCUCAUGGUCAAGCCGCAGCUUUGGGUUGUGGUGAGGGUAGUGGGUAAAGAAGCGCCGGCUAACUACGUG